UCCCUGGUGGCUUAGAUGGUAAAGAAUCUGCCUGCAAUGCAGGAGACCCAGGUUCGAUCCCUGGGUUGGAAA
Molecule: transfer RNA, 72 nt
Filed under: Ovis aries (sheep)
Lineage: Eukaryota; Metazoa; Chordata; Mammalia; Artiodactyla; Bovidae
Also listed under: 1 other name
Rfam family: tRNA
About the family: Transfer RNA (tRNA) molecules are approximately 80 nucleotides in length.
Source: Rfam by way of RNAcentral